Molecule: ribosomal RNA, 864 nt
Filed under: Paraclostridium ghonii
Lineage: Bacteria; Bacillati; Bacillota; Clostridia; Peptostreptococcales; Peptostreptococcaceae
Description: bacterial SSU rRNA
Rfam family: Bacterial small subunit ribosomal RNA
Source: RNAcentral
UCAGAUGAACGCUGGGGUUGAGUUUAAAACUGCUCUGGAUGAACACUAGCGGCGUGCCUAACACAUUCAAGUCGAGCGAUUCCUUUGAGAAGAGCGGCUGUCGGGUGAAUAACGCGUGGGUAUCCUGCCCUGUACACUCGGAUAACAUACGUAAAGGUAUGGUAAUUCGGGAUUAUAUAUGAAAGUUGCAUUGCUUUGAUAUCAAAUCUUUUGCGGUACAGGAUGGGCUAGCGUCUGAUUAGGUAGUUGGUAAGGUAAAGGUUUACCAAGGUGAUGAUCAGUAGCCGACCUGAGAGGGUGAUCGGCCUCACUGGAGAUGAGACACGGUCCAGACUCGUACGAGAGGCAGCAGUGGGGUAUAUUGCACAAUGGGCGAAAGCGUGAUUCAGCAACGCCGCGUGAGCGAUGAAGGCGUUGGGGUGGUAAAGAUCUGUCAUCAAGGAAGAUAAUGGUGGUACUCGAGGAGGAAGCCCCGGCUAUUUACGUCCCAGCAGCCGGGGUAAUGAGUAGGGGGAUAGCGUUUUCGGGAAUUUGUGGGUGUAAAGGGUGUGUAGGGGUUAUUUAAAGCCAGAAGUGAUAGGCUGGGUCUCAACGGUAGUAAGAUUUAGGAAUUGUAGGAUUGGAGUGCAGGAGAGGAGAGUGGAAUUCCUAGUGUAGCGGUGAAAUGGGUAGAUAUUAGGAGGAACACCAGUAGGGAAGGGGGCUCUCUGGACUGUAACUGACGCUGAGGCAGGAAAGCGUGGGGAGCGAACCAGGAUUAGAUACCCCUGGUAGUCCACGCCGUAAACGAUGAGUACUAGGUGUCGGGGGUUACCCCCCUCGGUGCCGCAGCUAACGCAUAAAGUUACUCCGCCUGGGAGUACG